Molecule: unclassified non-coding RNA, 368 nt
Filed under: Hevea brasiliensis (rubber tree)
Lineage: Eukaryota; Viridiplantae; Streptophyta; Magnoliopsida; Malpighiales; Euphorbiaceae
Source: RNAcentral
GGGCAUGAUAGGAGAAAAACUUAGUUCUCUUAAUUGCAGCCACCAGAGGUGUGACAACCUUUGACAAGACAUCCAAAAAAAUUUGAGCAUGCCAUAAAGAGCAGUGGUUUAACACGUUGGAACCAUCACCACAUUGUGUUGUAGCCAAUCAGCUUCAGAUCAUAUCUUUCUUAACAUGAGCCUGACAUUUUCAGAUGCUUCAAGAUUCCAUUGGCAUGCCACUAGUUUUUUGUUCCACCGGUUGAGGUGACUGGUCCUCUCUGCCGAUUAACUGCACGAGGCACAAAUGACAAUCCACGAGCCCUACUGCGGCCAAAGCUGAUUGCUGAAGGAGAAUCCGAAGUGGUUAAUUUCGAUACCGCUGAAAC